Molecule: long non-coding RNA, 660 nt
Organism: Triticum dicoccoides
Lineage: Eukaryota; Viridiplantae; Streptophyta; Magnoliopsida; Poales; Poaceae
Exons: 2
Source: RefSeq, a predicted model, not a curated record
UCCCGAUUUUCUCGCUCUCUCCAGAGGAGUGGUCCAACUGCGGCGGCGACGGUGAGGCGCGCGCGCACAAGAAGACACGGCGGCGCGAGGCACGCCGGACAUGGCGACGCGGUAGCUUCGCUCGCCGGAGCAGCGUGCACAAGGACUUGGUCCGGCGCGCUCCUCCGUCGAGCGUAGCUCCGGAGACGCGACCACGUAGCCGUGGCGUUUACGGGCAUUUCGCCGGCGGCUGCCGGCGCACGCUUUGACGGCGACAGCGAGGAACAAGGCACGAAGUCCAGCAGCGGUUGCAUCUUCUUUCCGCGCCGUAACGAGAGACAGCGGCGUUCCGGCCAUGGCGUACACGCACGGCGGUGGCCGUGGCCGUGCGGACCCUAAGACCGGCAUGCUCAUAAACGCACAGCGGAGCCCAUGAUCUCAAGUGGCGAGGAUGAGCAGCACCAGUGGCGCCAAGGUGAUGUAGUCGUGGAGAGGCAGCAGCUCACCCAGGAGCUUCGCGGUGGCAGCAGGAAACCGCCGGCACAGCCUUGCGGCGGCUGGCGAUGGAAACGGCCUUCCCAUUGCGUAACACACCCCUAGAUCGGUAGGUUUGAGGGAAUUAAGGGGCUAGAUAUCAUGUACGUGAACUCAGGUGCCAUAAGUAUCCAGGCCCCACCCUUU